RNAcentral lists this ribosomal RNA (178 nucleotides) under oil-degrading bacterium AOB1. Its description in RNAcentral is "partial 16S ribosomal RNA". The record is from RNAcentral. Lineage: Bacteria; Bacillati; Actinomycetota; Actinomycetes; Actinomycetales.
UAUUACCGCGGCUGCUGGCACGUAGUUAGCCGGUGCUUCUUCUGCAGGUACCGUCACUUGCGCUUCGUCCCUACUGAAAGGGGUUUACAAUCCGAAGACCGUCAUCCCCCACGCGGCGUCGCUGCAUCAGGCUUUCGCCCAUUGUGCAAUAUUCCCCACUGCUGCCUCCCGUAGGAGU